UUCCUGGAGCAGGGCAGAAGUGAAACCCACACGGACUGACACAGCCACAGCGCAGUCUCCUGCAGCCAGGACUCCCAUUUCCAUCACCUGCUUUGCCGAGCCUCGGAAGUGACCUAAGUUUCAGUCCGCCAGCUCCUGACAGCUCGAAUCAAAUGUCUGCCCAAACCUGGAUGGCCCAAGGAGCUGGCAUGGCUGAGGCACAGCUUGGAGCAGCUGGAGCGAUGCGGUGAGCAUCACAUCGAGGAUUCACCGGCCUGAUUUAUGAGGUACCCCUGACAGCCCGGUGACUGGGGGAAGCACGAGUCCAAGCUGACACCAGCUCCCCAGGAAAAAAAAAAAAAAAAAAACAAACAUCGCCGUGUCCUUGUCAGUGCCAGGCCCUCACCUGACCAUCCUCCUCCCUCCAUAUCACGAGGUUUUUACACAGGCUGGAGCCAAGCAGCCGGAGCAGAGAGGACAAAAAGGAUCCUCAGGCACCAGCCACCUGGAGCCGUGCUCCUAUUUUCUCCAUAAAAUUUGGAGAAAUCCCUCUGAACACAGUUUAAACCGAGAUGCUUGGUUAAUCCCCCUGCUAAAGCACCUCAGCGCAUGCCCUGGCUUAUUUUUUACCUUAGCUUUGUAUUUUCAGCUGCUCGGGUUUCACCUCAGUCACUUGAGGCUCUGUGUGAAGGUGCGUGAGGACGGCCAGGAGCAUCCAAAUGGAGGCCCCCAGACGCGAGCGUUUCUCCCUUAACCUUCUUGCACCAUCGGGAAUAAUAAUUCCUCGCAGGGCUGUUGCACAGCUUGAUUCAUUAAGGCUUAUGAAGUGCUUUUAGCUCCUGCACUGGAAGGCUCUGUGCGAGUUAUUUUGGACUGCUCAGGUGUUAGGAGCCGAGGCACUGCAGCAGGAAUACAAAUAAAUCAAGAAGCGAAGCUGCCCCCUUCCCGCAUGCAGCCCCUGCCCCCCACUGUUCUCCAUCACUGCUGGUGUCAAACAGUUAAUUUACAAGCCCAGCACUUUACAAAGCCCCUGGAGCACCAAUUGUCCCUUUCUCAUGCAACAUCAGCUCCUCAAAAAAGCCAGCUGAGUCUCCGGGGUCACCCCGCUCCUGCCCUUCCCAAGCCCCUAUCCAAAACCACCCGAAUAUUUAUUUCAAGCAAGCCCAGUCCAGCAUCACCCCUGUACAGCAUGAUGCUGGAAGUGCUGAAAUAACUCUGGAGGAAGGGGUGGACGCAGUCAGGGCUCUGAUCUGUGCCUUCUUGGGGAGGCAAUAUUCAAUCGGCAAAGGUGACCCAGAUACUCUAACGGGGCCACAGCCUGCCCACGAGCUGCUGCAGCAAGGCAGCAUCCCCAUGCCAGAGCCAGGCAUGGACAGAGCAGCUCUCAGGCCAGCAGGACAAACCGAGAGAGCACAGGGAAAAGAAGCAGGCUUGUGGCUUGGAAAGGUAAAGGCUCUGCAAGUCUCACAUGGCUUUUUUUUUUUCCCUCCCUCCCUCUGUCUCCCUCCCCUCCUCCAGUCUGUUGCACCGGAGCUGUCGGCCAUGCUGUUCCAGUUCAGGGGCUCCUGCAACAGAAAAGAUCAGCUGUUGGAGAACCCAUGGAAAGCCCUGGGGGAGAGCCAUGGCCGCAAGAGCCAGGAAGCCAACAGAGGGAGCCCAAAGCCCUGAGCAGCGCCAGGAGCUGGGCUAAAGAAAUGCACAGAGACAUGAACCAACACCAACCCCAACACCACAAGCUCCCAGUUCCCAUCCCCUGCCACCGGACACCGCAGCUCUGCUCUUCUGAGAACCUUGCCCCAAAAAACAGCCUGGAUAUAAAAAUAGGAAAAGGGAGCAAGACAGCAGUAAGGAGAAAAAAAGGCCUGGCUAGAAAGAAAGGAUGCAACGUAGGGAGAGAGGGUAAGGGUUUAUAUUUUUAAGAUUAAACUCUUCUACAAAAGUCUUCCCUGGUCACAGAGAGAAAGACAGCAAAAUGGAAAAGAUAUUAGGUGAGAUGUAGAGGCAUACACAGACAUGUAUAUAUAAUAAUUACAAAUUGAACCCAUUUAUUUUUGCAUAUGAGUUUCUGGCUGAAAAGGAAGACUGUUUUCCCUUGUCCUCCCUCGUUAAGCACAGCUGUCUGUUUGUCUUUUUUAUGAGACAAGCCACGUUUUCCAGCAACAAGUAAAUAAAGGCACACAAUCGAAAUGCUUCCUGCCCCA
RNAcentral lists this long non-coding RNA (2180 nucleotides) under Anas platyrhynchos platyrhynchos (common mallard). Its description in RNAcentral is "lncRNA (ENSAPLG00000026846.1)". The record is from RNAcentral. Lineage: Eukaryota; Metazoa; Chordata; Aves; Anseriformes; Anatidae.